Molecule: long non-coding RNA, 447 nt
Filed under: Dicentrarchus labrax (European seabass)
Lineage: Eukaryota; Metazoa; Chordata; Actinopteri; Moronidae
Description: lncRNA (ENSDLAG00005032811.1)
Source: RNAcentral
UCUUUUAGCCUCUGGAGGAAACUACUCAGAGGAUGUUCAGUCAUUUGACCAGCCUAAUAAUGGCUUUUGUGGAAACAUCUUGGCAGAGCUAGAGUCAACAGACCUCUGUAAUGAUGGAGGGCACCAUACUGGACAAGUAAGGAAUGGUAUGUCCAUUGUCCCUGUGUCAAGAGGCUUUUGAUACAUUUGUGAUUAUUUAAUUAGCUAUCACUCAAUAGUUGCUGUGCCUUUGCUAUCGCGCCAUGAGAUACAGUACUGUGACUAUAAAAAAAGCCUGAAAUAUUUGAACUUCUAGCUCCUGCCACUCUAUAUAAACUUUAAAACAUAUAAAAAGUCUUGAUAAAUUGUAUCAAUCACCACCCCCAGGGCUAUAAAGGUGAGUUAACUAACAAAUUCUCAUCACAUUUCUUUAACACCAGACAUGCCAACCAAUCUCGAAUGAUGCCA